UUCUCAAGGGGAAUGCUUUUGGAUGUUGUCCACUCAGUAUGAUGUUGGCUGUGGAUUUGUCAUAGAUGGUUCAUAUUAUUUUAAGAUUGUUUUCAUACUGCAGAUAAAGACAUACCUGAGACUGUAAGAAAAAGAGGUUUAAUGGACUCACAGUUCCAUGUGGGUGGAGAGGCCUCACAACCAUGGCAACAGGUAAAAGUCACAUCUAUGUGGUGGCAGACCAGAGAGAAAGUGAGAGCCAAGUGAAGGGGGAAACUCCGUAUUAAACCAUCAGACCUUUUGAGACUUCUUCACUACCGUGAGAACAGUGUUGGGGAAACCCCCCUCAUGAUUCAAUUAUCUCCCGCUGGGUUUCUCCCACAACACAUGGGAAUUAUGGGAGCCCAAUUCAAGAUGAAAUUUGGGUGGGGACCCAGCCAAACCAUAUCACAAUUGAAUUCCAUUCACAUAGUUAAUGAACACUUCCCAGAUUUUUCUUAUCAGUGGGGAUACAGAAGUGACUGAGACCACAGUCCCUGCUCUGAAAUUGUGAUAAGUGUGGUGAGAAGAGGUGUAUAUUCGGGGACCGUGGGGGAUGUGUUGGCUUGGAGCCUGGGGGAAGGGUACCUCUGGUAAAAGGAUGGAGCACGACCAAGCACAGCCAGUUAAGAGUGUCAGUUCUGGAAUUAGACACACCUGCGCUGAAUUCCUGCCCCACCACUUCUUGUGUGAAUUGGGCAAAGGACAUAACGUUAUUAUGGUGACUGUGAAAUCAUGAUGGGAAAGGUGACACAGAGCAAAUGCUCAGUGCAUGUCAAUGUUCACGGUGAUGAUGAUGAUGAUGAUGACGAUGAUGACGACGAUGAGGAGGAAGAGCUGCACCACUCCAGCAUGCCUCUAAACCUGCAUGGGAGCAAUGCCUGGCAGAGCGCUCCCACAGACAUGAACUUUUCCAUUUCCUGUGAUUCACAUCCUUAUUUUGGUUUCUCAUUAUAUAAGACCCAGCUCUUCAUUUUGCCAUUUCAAAAUCCCCCAGUGCGCCUACCACUCAUCCUCGAUUUCCUUCUUCCAUAAGCCUCUUCCAAGAUCUCUUCUACACCUAUAGAAGCACAGAAAUAAAUCUCAUUUUGUUCAUUCUUCUCCUCCCCUAGAAGCUCAGGCGAGGAGCUAAGGAAUGUUCAACUCUGCGCCUUCUACUUCACUCCAGGAAAUUCCUGAGAGGAAUGAGAGGAAGGCAUUGGAGAAGCCAGUAGACAUCCAACAUGUGGUGAGGGCACUUCCAUCACUGUCCUUGGAAUCACAGUCUCAGGACUGAAGGCAAUUUUCAGUGUUGGCCGUUGGCUGGCCUAACCCCUUCCUGUGCUGAAACCCCUUUACAGGCACCCCUUUGGAGAGACUCUUCUCUUCAGCCAGACACCCAGUGCUCCAUUCUGACCCAGCUGCGACUAUGGGUGAAAUAUUAUGGCCGAAGCUAUGUUGCCUGGAAACAAAACUUCUAUGAUGUCAGAGCCCAACCAUUUGUAUGUUGAAAUUCUGUUGUUUGAAAUUACCACCUGGAGGAAACAUCCUAUUUUCUAUUACCUUCUUGAACACAUGGGAAGCUUCAAACAAUUCAAUGUGUUAAUAUCAGAUGCUUUUGAUGUAAAAGUGGUAGGAGAGACUGGGAGUCAGUUGGAUAUGAAUUUAAAGAAAAAUAACUAGUAACACAGAACUUGGCAACUUAUGUUCUUAUAAACAUGGACUAUUACAAACAUGACAAUUUCCAAUUGUCAUCACCCUAAAAUUUAUAUUCUAUGUACUAGGGAUGACAUAUAUUAAAUAUUCUGGUAUAUUUUUGUUAUAUAUUGAAACUGACCUGUAAUAAUUUUAAUGUUGUAAAUGAACACAGAAAUGAAAAGUUUGUACCUAAUGGGAAGAGAAGCAUCGCUUUAGACAUUAUGAGCCUUUGGGAUUUUCUUGUUUUCUGUGAAGAAAGGAGAAAUCUGAUUAUUUUCUGGGUUCGUAUUUGUUUAAGAAAUCAAGUCAUGUCUGAAGUGUGUCCUGUUGGGGUGAGCAAAAUAUUGCAGAUUUGCUCAACAAACAAGUUCAGAUGUUGGACAUCAAGAAAAAAAUUAAAAUUCAGGUGUAAAUUAAUCUUAUUCAUCUUCUUGGCCUUGUACUGGAAGGAAUUUCAAAUAAACAUCAUCUCAGCCUUU
This is a long non-coding RNA of Symphalangus syndactylus (siamang), 2174 nucleotides long. RefSeq lists it as uncharacterized. NCBI's taxonomy places the organism in Eukaryota, Metazoa, Chordata, Mammalia, Primates, Hylobatidae. The record is from RefSeq and is a predicted model, not a curated record.